GACGAACGCUGGCGGCGUGCUUAACACAUGCAAGUCGAACGGAAAGGCCUCUUUCGGGGGGUACUCGAGUGGCGAACGGGUGAGUAACACGUGAGUAACCUGCCCUUGACUUUGGGAUAACUUCAGGAAACUGGGGCUAAUACCGGAUAGGAGCUCCUGCUGCAUGGUGGGGGUUGGAAAGGUUCGGCGGUUGGGGAUGGACUCGCGGCUUAUCAGCUUGUUGGUGGGGUAGUGGCUUACCAAGGCUUUGACGGGUAGCCGGCCUGAGAGGGUGACCGGCCACAUUGGGACUGAGAUACGGCCCAGACUCCUACGGGAGGCAGCAGUGGGGAAUAUUGCACAAUGGGUGGAAGCCUGAUGCAGCAACGCCGGGUGCGGGAUGACGGCCUUCGGGUUGUAAACCGCUUUCGCUCAUGACGAAGCUUUGUGUGACGGUAGUGGGUAAAGAAGCACCGGCUAACUACGUG
RNAcentral lists this ribosomal RNA (467 nucleotides) under uncultured bacterium. RNAcentral's name for it is "partial 16S ribosomal RNA". It matches the Rfam family "Bacterial small subunit ribosomal RNA", at positions 28 to 507 of the family's 1533-position model. The record is from RNAcentral.